Molecule: ribosomal RNA, 253 nt
Filed under: uncultured bacterium
Lineage: Bacteria
Description: partial 16S ribosomal RNA
Rfam family: Bacterial small subunit ribosomal RNA
Source: RNAcentral
UACGUAGGGGGCAAGCGUUGUCCGGAAUCAUUGGGCGUAAAGAGCGUGUAGGCGGCCCGGUAAGUCCGCUGUGAAAGUCCAGGGCUCAACCCUGGAAUGCCGGUGGAUACUGUCGGGCUAGAGUCCGGAAGGGGCGAGUGGAAUUCCUGGUGUAGCGGUGAAAUGCGCAGAUAUCAGGAGGAACACCAAUGGCGAAGGCAGCUCGCUGGGACGUGACUGACGCUGAGACGCGAAAGCGUGGGGAGCAAACAGG